AGGACGAACGCUGGCGGCGUGCUUAAGACAUGCAAGUCGUACGAGAAAGUCUCUUCGGAGGUGAGUAAAGUGGCGCACGGGUGAGUAACGCGUGGGUAAUCUGCCCUUAGGUUUGGGAUAACCCCGGGAAACCGGAGCUAAUACCGAAUAAGACCACGAUGACUUCGGUCGAUGUGGCAAAAGAUGGCCUCUUCUUGAAAGCUAUCGCCAAUGGAUGAGCCCGCGUUUGAUUAGUUUGUUGGUGAGGUAACGGCUCACCAAGACUACGAUCAAUAGCUGGUCUGAGAGGACGAUCAGCCACACUGGAACUGAGACACGGUCCAGACUCCUACGGGAGGCAGCAGUCGGGAAUAUUGGGCAAUGGGCGAAAGCCUGACCCAGCAACGCCGCGUGAAGGAUGAAGGCCUUCGGGUCGUAAACUUCUGUCGAGAGGGAAGAACGCGUGCGGGUGAAUAAUCCGUACGUCUGACGGUACCUCCAAAGGAAGCACCGGCUAACUCCGUGCCAGCAGCCGCGGUAAUACGGAGGGUGCAAGCGUUGUUCGGAUUUAUUGGGCGUAAAGCGAGUGUAGGCGGUUUGACAAGUCGGAUGUGAAAUCCCAGGGCCCAACCCUGGAACUGCAUCCGAUACUGUCAGGCUAGAGUCCCGGAGAGGGUGGCGGAAUUCCCGGUGUAGGGGUGAAAUCCGUAGAUAUCGGGAGGAACACCAGUGGCGAAGGCGGCCACCUGGACGGUGACUGACGCUCAGACUCGAAAGCGUGGGUAGCAAACAGGAUUAGAUACCCUGGUAGUCCACGCCGUAAACGGUGAGAGCUCGUCGUAGUGGGUAUUGACCCCUGCUGUGACCAAGUUAACGCAUGAAGCUCUCCGCCUGGGAAGUACGGUCUCAAGACUA
RNAcentral lists this ribosomal RNA (894 nucleotides) under uncultured bacterium. Its description in RNAcentral is "bacterial SSU rRNA". It matches the Rfam family "Bacterial small subunit ribosomal RNA", at positions 26 to 896 of the family's 1533-position model. The record is from RNAcentral.